AACCAAUGAUGAGGACACAUUCUCAAAAGAUCCUUAAACCUCUCCCAUGCAUCAUAUAAUGUCUCCAACUCAAUUUGAGCAAAAGAAGAAAUGUUGUUUCUCAACUU
Small nucleolar RNA from Gossypium arboreum, 107 nucleotides. It matches the Rfam family "Plant small nucleolar RNA R71". From Rfam's summary of the family: R71 is a member of the C/D box family of snoRNAs containing the C (UGAUGA) and D (CUGA) box motifs. NCBI's taxonomy places the organism in Eukaryota, Viridiplantae, Streptophyta, Magnoliopsida, Malvales, Malvaceae. The record is from Rfam.